This is a non-coding RNA of Sphingobacterium sp. Ag1, 63 nucleotides long. The record is from Rfam. NCBI's taxonomy places the organism in Bacteria, Pseudomonadati, Bacteroidota, Sphingobacteriia, Sphingobacteriales, Sphingobacteriaceae.
AAUAGAUAUGGCAAUGAUGUCUGCCCUUAACCGCCUUAAUAAGCUGAUGACGUCUACUAUUUU